UAACACGUAGGAGGCAAGCGUUAUCCGGAUUUACUGGGCGUAAAGCGCGUGCAGGCGGUUUGGUAAGUUGGAUGUGAAAGCUCCCGGCUCAACUGGGAGAGGCCGUUCAAUACUGCCAGACUAGAGGACGGUAGAGGAAGGUAGAAUUCCCGGUGUAGUGGUGAAAUGCGUAGAUAUCGGGAGGAAUACCAGUGGCGAAGGCGGCCUUCUGGGCCGUUCCUGACGCUAAGACGCGAAAGCAUGGGUAGCAAACGGGAUUAGAAACCCCGGUAGUCCAUGCCGUAAACGAUGCAAACUAGGUGUUGGUGGUGUAAAAGCCAUCAGUGCCGCAGCUAACGCGAUAAGUUUGCCGCCUGGGGACUACGGCCGCAAGGUUA
RNAcentral lists this ribosomal RNA (377 nucleotides) under uncultured Anaerolineae bacterium. RNAcentral describes it as "bacterial SSU rRNA". It matches the Rfam family "Bacterial small subunit ribosomal RNA", at positions 521 to 896 of the family's 1533-position model. Lineage: Bacteria; Bacillati; Chloroflexota; Anaerolineae. The record is from RNAcentral.